This 443-nucleotide ribosomal RNA is filed under the name uncultured bacterium. Its description in RNAcentral is "partial 16S ribosomal RNA". It matches the Rfam family "Bacterial small subunit ribosomal RNA", at positions 338 to 795 of the family's 1533-position model. The record is from RNAcentral.
CCUACGGGGGGCAGCAGUGGGGAAUAUUGGACAAUGGGGGGAACCCUGAUCCAGCGACGCCGCGUGAGUGAAGAAGUAUUUCGGUAUGUAAAGCUCUAUCAGCAGGGAAGAAAGAAAUGACGGUACCUGACUAAGAAGCCCCGGCUAACUACGUGCCAGCAGCCGCGGUAAUACGUAGGGGGCAAGCGUUAUCCGGAUUUACUGGGUGUAAAGGGAGCGUAGACGGCGAUGCAAGUCUGAAGUGAAAGGCGGGGGCCCAACCCCCGUACUGCUUUGGAAACUGUAUGGCUGGAGUGCAGGAGAGGUAAGUGGAAUGCCUAGUGUAGCGGUGAAAUGCGUAGAUAUUAGGAGGAACACCAGUGGCGAAGGCAGCUUACUGAACUGUAACUGACGUUGAGGCUCGAAAGCGUGGGGAGCAAACAGGAUUAGAUACCCGAGUAGUC